UAUCAAAUGGCUGAAAGUAAGCAACGAUCUCUUAAAUCGAAAAAUAAUAAAUUAACAUAUAUUUUUGAUAA
This 71-nucleotide transfer RNA is filed under the name Novacerus sp. FZ-2019. RNAcentral describes it as "tRNA-Lys". Lineage: Eukaryota; Metazoa; Arthropoda; Collembola; Entomobryomorpha; Tomoceridae. The record is from RNAcentral.